CUCUCUCUCUCUUGCUUGCUGCCAUGCAAGAUGUGACUUUGCUCUUCAUUCACCUUCUGCCAUGAUUGUGAGGGCUCCCCAGCCAUGUAGAACUAAAUUGUGGAGCCACCAUCUCUAAACAUCCUGCCUAACAGGACUUCUAGAAGUUCGCCAAAGGUCUCCUCAACCCCAGUUCAGUGAUAUAAUUUUGGUUUCUGAAGAGUGUUGACAUUUAUGGAUCGUCUGGUUGGAGAACUAAAGAAAUUUCUGGCAAGUGGAUACCACAUUGACAAGGUGCUCAUCAGCUGGUACAAUGGACCUUUAUCUCAGAGUUUAAAUUUAUUUGCAAGUGAUCUGAAAAGUCCAAGGUUAAGAUGCAAGACUGGCUAGAAGGAUAAGCAGUGGGAACAACGGCACAGGAGAUGUCCUUAUGGGUCCCCAACACUUUCUCUUUUGCCCUUUGGCAGGUGCUAGUGACAGACAUGGGGCUUCACCAUGUUGCCCAGGGCUGUUCUCGACCUCCUGGAUUCAAGCAAUCCUUCCACCUCGGCCUCCCAAAGUGCUGGGAUUACAGGCAUGAGCCACCUCGCCACUGGCUGGACUCCUCCGAUUGACUUCUAUUCACCAGAAUGUUGAUGGCUCUGGUUCUCACCCUGUUGUUGUUUGCAUGGGAAUAUUCCCUAGAAAAGAGAUAAGGCCUCUCUCCUGCCUUUCUUCCACCCAGAUUAAGACUGUGAGAUGAAGACAGAAACAGCAUCCGCUGAGGCACCUUCUCUUCUGUCCCACUAGGAUAUAACCUCCGCCGGAGGGGACUGUCCUAGACUCUGAGGGGAAGAUUAUCAACUGCACAGGACUUUAUCAGGGAGAAUUCUUGGGGUCAACACUGCAGGAGGCAGACGAAGAAGCAGGACUGGGCAGAGGGAGACAUUGGGCUGUGAUGUCAUCACCACAGAUGCCACAGCUCAGCCUACAGGGAGUUCUGAAGAUAGGAUCACCCUUCAGAACUGUCUAGAUUUGGCUAGAGAGCCAGACCUUUGGAUCCCUUGGUGACCAAUAAUUGGAUGUAGAAAGAGGGAGUGAUGCUGAACAAGACCCAGUGUGUCUUCAAAUAGUAGGCUUACUCCUGGGAGGAACAAAUGAUUCGUGCAUCUGGGCAGGCCUCAAGGAAAUAGAGAUGGCAGAGGGGCGAGAGUCCUGCAGGAGUCCUCUGCGAAGCAGUGAGCAAGGGGAGGUUGAGAGAGAGGCCUGGGAGCCAGUGGACAUCUCUUUCUUUCUAGGUGGGAAUGUAAGGAGUGAGGGAGGAAAAUGCUUCUUGACAUCUACCUU
Molecule: long non-coding RNA, 1305 nt
Filed under: Homo sapiens (human)
Lineage: Eukaryota; Metazoa; Chordata; Mammalia; Primates; Hominidae
Description: HSALNT0337807
Source: RNAcentral